RNAcentral lists this non-coding RNA (162 nucleotides) under Schistosoma mattheei. Its description in RNAcentral is "Eukaryotic small subunit ribosomal RNA". It matches the Rfam family "Eukaryotic small subunit ribosomal RNA", at positions 1667 to 1823 of the family's 1831-position model. The record is from Rfam by way of RNAcentral. Lineage: Eukaryota; Metazoa; Platyhelminthes; Trematoda; Strigeidida; Schistosomatidae.
CACCUCUCGUUGCUACUACCAAUUGAAUGGUUUAUUAAGGUCAUUGGAUUGUUGUCGUUGUAGUGGCUUUACUGCUCGACUGAUGCUGAGAAGAUGAACUAAUUUGAUUAUUUAGAGAAAGUAAGAGUCGUAACGAGGUUCCCGUAGGUGAACCUGCAGAAG